GGGGAAGGAAGGUAGUGGGGCAAUGUAAACAUGGGGGAGAGAGGGGAAGGUAGUGGGGCAAUGUAAACAUGAGGAGAGAUGGAGAGAGGGGAAGGAAGGUAGUGGGGCAAUGUAAACAUGGGGGAGAGGGGGGAAGGUAGUGGGGCAAUGUAAACAUGGGGGAGAGAUGGAGAGAGGGGAAGGAAGGUAGUGAGAAAAAGAAGAGCUGUACGGAAGGCUGGAGUGAUGGGGUGAACACUGUCAGAGAAGAAAACGUGGAGAAAGGGAUGGAGAAACAGAUGAGUGUUUCCCAACAACAGGUCAGGACCUAUUGGGUCGCUGCUAUUCCUUUUGGGACACACCUAAACACAAGAUUAAACCCAAACACACUGCUUUGGUUUAUUGGGCAGGC
Long non-coding RNA from Oncorhynchus tshawytscha (Chinook salmon), 391 nucleotides. The record is from Ensembl. Lineage: Eukaryota; Metazoa; Chordata; Actinopteri; Salmoniformes; Salmonidae.